GGGCCUGGGGAACUGAGACUUUAACCGCGGCACUCGCUUUGGUUGUUCCACUCGCCUUGAGGCCGGUGAAUGAGGGAAUGGCGACGGCGGCGGAGGUGACGGCGGCCAUGUCUGUCUGUGAAGGCAGGUGUGGCGAGUGAGGUUUGUGUGUGGAAUGGGGGAAAUCAGAACGGAGAACCGGUAAGGUUGUUUUUUAUAGAGUGAGAGAAUGGAGAAAGGUGUGGAUUGUUGUUUGUGUGGCUGAGAGAAGAGGAACAAUGGGUGAUGCAGAUAAUGCAGAGUGAAGGGUUUAUCUCAUCAUCUCAUCACCAUUGUUCCCAUUGGUUGAAUCAGAUGUUAUCCUCUGACGUGGCGUAGAUUUUUUUUUUUUUUUUCAUUUCUUUCUCUGUCACAUACAUAUGCAGUAGAAUCUCUGUUCUGUAAUUAACACAAGCAAAAAAAGCUGGUGGUGAAUCUAUGUUAGUAAGACACUCACCACUAGCUCAAGCUUUCAAGAAAAUAAAUCAC
RNAcentral lists this long non-coding RNA (507 nucleotides) under Vigna radiata. RNAcentral's name for it is "long non-coding RNA (VRAD_LNC003916)". The record is from RNAcentral. Lineage: Eukaryota; Viridiplantae; Streptophyta; Magnoliopsida; Fabales; Fabaceae.